CUUCGGGUGAGCGGCGGACGGGUUAGUAACGCGUGGGAACAUACCCUUUUCUACGGAAUAGCCUCGGGAAACUGAGAGUAAUACCGUAUAAGCCCUUCGGGGGAAAGAUUUAUCGGGAAAGGAUUGGCCCGCGUUAGAUUAGAUAGUUGGUGGGGUAAUGGCCUACCAAGUCUACGAUCUAUAGCUGGUUUUAGAGGAUGAUCAGCAACACUGGGACUGAGACACGGCCCAGACUCCUACGGGAGGCAGCAGUGGGGAAUCUUAGACAAUGGGCGCAAGCCUGAUCUAGCCAUGCCGCGUGUGUGAUGAAGGUCUUAGGAUCGUAAAGCACUUUCGCCAGGGAUGAUAAUGACAGUACCUGGUAAAGAAACCCCGGCUAACUCCGUGCCAGCAGCCGCGGUAAUACGGAGGGGGUUAGCGUUGUUCGGAAUUACUGGGCGUAAAGCGUACGUAGGCGGAUUGGAAAGUUGGGGGUGAAAUCCCAGGGCUCAACCCUGGAACUGCCUCCAAAACUAUCAGUCUAGAGUUCGAGAGAGGUGAGUGGAAUUCCAAGUGUAGAGGUGAAAUUCGUAGAUAUUUGGAGGAACACCAGUGGCGAAGGCGGCUCACUGGCUCGAUACUGACGCUGAGGUACGAAAGUGUGGGGAGCAAACAGGAUUAGAUACCCUGGUAGUCCACACCGUAAACGAUGAAUGCCAGUCGUCGGGCAGUAUACCUGUUCGGUGACACACCUAACGGAUUAAGCAUUCCGCCUGGGGGAGUACGGUCGCAAGAUUAAAACUCAAAGGAAAUUGACGGGGGCCCGCACAAGCGGUGGAAGCAUGUGGUUUAAUUCGAAGCAACGCGCAGAACCUUACCAACCCUUGACAUCCUGUG
Molecule: ribosomal RNA, 876 nt
Filed under: Sulfitobacter pontiacus
Lineage: Bacteria; Pseudomonadati; Pseudomonadota; Alphaproteobacteria; Rhodobacterales; Roseobacteraceae
Description: bacterial SSU rRNA
Rfam family: Bacterial small subunit ribosomal RNA
Source: RNAcentral